This 432-nucleotide ribosomal RNA is filed under the name uncultured bacterium. Its description in RNAcentral is "partial 16S ribosomal RNA". It matches the Rfam family "Bacterial small subunit ribosomal RNA", at positions 29 to 506 of the family's 1533-position model. The record is from RNAcentral.
AACGAACGCUGGCGGCAGGCCUAACACAUGCAAGUCGAGCGCGCCCUUCGGGGUGAGCGGCGGACGGGUGAGUAACGCGUGGGAACGUGCCCUUUUCUACGGAAUAGCCUCGGGAAACUGAGAGUAAUACCGUAUACGCCCUUUGGGGGAAAGAUUUAUCGGAAAAGGAUCGGCCCGCGUUGGAUUAGGUAGUUGGUGGGGUAAUGGCCUACCAAGCCGACGAUCCAUAGCUGGUUUGAGAGGAUGAUCAGCCACACUGGGACUGAGACACGGCCCAGACUCCGACGGGAGGCAGCAGUGGGGAAUCUUAGACAAUGGGGGCAACCCUGAUCUAGCCAUGCCGCGUGAGUGAUGAAGGCCUUAGGGUUGUAAAGCUCUUUCAGCUGGGAAGAUAAUGACGGUACCAGCAGAAGAAGCCCCGGCUAACUCCGU